RNAcentral lists this ribosomal RNA (253 nucleotides) under uncultured bacterium. Its description in RNAcentral is "partial 16S ribosomal RNA". It matches the Rfam family "Bacterial small subunit ribosomal RNA", at positions 524 to 776 of the family's 1533-position model. The record is from RNAcentral.
UACGGAGGGGGCUAGCGUUGUUCGGAAUUACUGGGCGUAAAGCGCACGUAGGCGGCUUUGUAAGUUAGAGGUGAAAGCCCCGAGCUCAACUUGGGAAUUGCAGUGGAUACUGGCAGGCUGGAGUACGGUAGAGGAAGGUGGAAUUCCCGGUGCAGCAGUGAAAUGCGUAGAUAUCGGGAGGAACACCAGUGGCGAAGGCGGCCUUCUGGACCAGUACUGACGCUCAUGCACGAAAGCGUGGGGAGCAAACAGG